ACGCUCGACACCUACGGGAGGCAGCAGGUGGGGAAUAUUGCACAAUGGGGGAAACCCUGAUGCAGCGACGCCGCGUGGAGGAAGAAGGUCUUCGGAUUGUAAACUCCUGUUGUUGGGGAAAAAGAGGAUGGUACCCAACAAGGAAGUGACGGCUAACUACGUGCUAGCAGCCGCGGUAAUCUGAGCGGGCUGGCAAGGC
Molecule: ribosomal RNA, 199 nt
Filed under: uncultured bacterium
Lineage: Bacteria
Description: partial 16S ribosomal RNA
Rfam family: Bacterial small subunit ribosomal RNA
Source: RNAcentral